CUACGGGGGGCAGCAGUGAGGAAUAUUGCACAAUGGGGGGAACCCUGAUGCAGCAACGCCGCGUGGAGGAUGACGCAUUUCGGUGUGUAAACUCCUUUUAUAUGUCAAGAAAAUGACGGUAGCAUAUGAAUAAGCACCGGCUAACUCCGUGCCAGCAGCCGCGGUAAUACGGAGGGUGCAAGCGUUACUCGGAAUCACUGGGCGUAAAGGACGCGUAGGCGGGUUGGAAAGUCAGGUGUGAAAUCCUACAGCUUAACUGUAGAACUGCACUUGAAACUUCUAAACUAGAGUAUGGGAGGGGGAGAUGGAAUUUGUGGUGUAGGGGUAAAAUCCGUAGAUAUCACUAGGAAUACCUAAAGCGAAGGCGAUCUCCUGGAACAUUACUGACGCUAAGGCGUGAAAGCGUGGGGAGCAAACAGGAUUAGAUACCCGAGUAGUC
RNAcentral lists this ribosomal RNA (439 nucleotides) under uncultured bacterium. RNAcentral describes it as "partial 16S ribosomal RNA". It matches the Rfam family "Bacterial small subunit ribosomal RNA", at positions 339 to 795 of the family's 1533-position model. The record is from RNAcentral.